GAUGAACGCUGGCGGCGUGCUUAAUACAUGCAAGUCGAGCGAAAAGACCUGGUGUUUGUUCCUCUUACGUUAGCGGCGGAUGGGUGAGGAACACGUGGCUAAUCUAUCUACAAGACUGAACUAACUUCUGGACACCGGAGCUAGUACCGGAUAAUAUAUUGAACCGCAUGGUUCAAUAGUGAGAGAAGGACUUGCUGUUACUUAUAGAUGGUUCCGCGCCGCAUUAGCUAGUUGGUAAGGUAACGGCUUCCUAAGACAACGAUGGGUAGCCGACGUCGGAGGGUGAUCGUCCACAGUGGAACUGAGACACGGUCCAGACCCCGACGGGAGGCAGCAGUAGGGGAUCGGCCGAAAGGGGCGAAAGCCUGAGGGUGAAGCGCCGCGUGAGUGAUGAAGGUCUUGGGAUCGUAAAUCUCUGUUAUUAGGGAAGAACAAAUGUGUAAGUAGCUAUGCACGUCGUGACGGUACCUGAACAGGAAGCCACGGCUAACUACGUG
RNAcentral lists this ribosomal RNA (497 nucleotides) under uncultured bacterium. Its description in RNAcentral is "partial 16S ribosomal RNA". It matches the Rfam family "Bacterial small subunit ribosomal RNA", at positions 28 to 507 of the family's 1533-position model. The record is from RNAcentral.